GAUGAACGCUGGCGGCGUGCCUAAUACAUGCAAGUCGAGCGAACAGAUGAGGAGCUUGCUCCUCUGACGUUAGCGGCGGACGGGGGAGUAACACGUGGAUAACCUACCUAUAAGACUGGGAUAACUUCGGGAAACCGGAGCUAAUACCGGAUAAUAUAUUGAACCGCAUGGUUCAAUAGUGAAAGACGGUUUUGCGGUCACUUAUAGAUGGAUCCGCGCCGCAUUAGCUAGUUGGUAAGGUAACGGCUUACCAAGGCAACGAUGCGUAGCCGACCUGAGAGGGUGAUCGGCCACACUGGAACUGAGACACGGUCCAGACUCCUACGGGAGGCAGCAGUGGGGAAUCUUGCACAAUGGGCGAAAGCCUGAUGCAGCAAUCCCGCGUGGGUGAUGAAGGUCUUCGGAUUGUAAACCUCUUUUAUUAGGAAAGAAAAAAUGUGGAUGAAUACCCCGCCGUUCUGACGGUACCUAAAGAAAAAGCACCGGCUAACUACGUG
RNAcentral lists this ribosomal RNA (497 nucleotides) under uncultured bacterium. Its description in RNAcentral is "partial 16S ribosomal RNA". It matches the Rfam family "Bacterial small subunit ribosomal RNA", at positions 28 to 507 of the family's 1533-position model. The record is from RNAcentral.